GUCUAUGGCCAUGCCACCCUGAACAAGCCCGAUCCCAUUUGAUCUCGGAAGCUAAGCAGGGUCGGGUCUGGUUAGUACUUAGAUGGGAGACCACCUAGGAAGACUAGGUGCUGUAGACA
This 119-nucleotide ribosomal RNA is filed under the name Pteropus alecto (black flying fox). The record is from RNAcentral. Lineage: Eukaryota; Metazoa; Chordata; Mammalia; Chiroptera; Pteropodidae.